Small nuclear RNA from Choloepus didactylus (southern two-toed sloth), 104 nucleotides. Lineage: Eukaryota; Metazoa; Chordata; Mammalia; Pilosa; Megalonychidae. The record is from RefSeq and is a predicted model, not a curated record.
GUGCCAACUUUGGCUGUACGUAUACUAAAAUUGGGACGAUACGGAGACCAGCAUGACCCCUGAACAAGAAUGACAUGCAAAUUCAUGAAACGAUCCAUAGGUUU